Molecule: transfer RNA, 82 nt
Filed under: Nephila pilipes (giant wood spider)
Lineage: Eukaryota; Metazoa; Arthropoda; Arachnida; Araneae; Nephilidae
Rfam family: tRNA
About the family: Transfer RNA (tRNA) molecules are approximately 80 nucleotides in length. Their secondary structure includes four short double-helical elements and three loops (D, anti-codon, and T loops).
Source: Rfam by way of RNAcentral
GCAGUCGUGGCCGAGUGGUUAAGGCGAUAGACUCGAAAUCUAUUGGGGUUUCCCCGCGUAGGUUCGAAUCCUACCGGCUGCG